AUUUAGAUAGCUCAGAAGGUUAGAGCGUUGGUCUGAAAAACCAAAGGUCGAUGGUUCGAUUCCAUCUCUAAGCA
Molecule: transfer RNA, 74 nt
Filed under: Niabella sp.
Lineage: Bacteria; Pseudomonadati; Bacteroidota; Chitinophagia; Chitinophagales; Chitinophagaceae
Description: tRNA-Phe
Rfam family: tRNA
About the family: Transfer RNA (tRNA) molecules are approximately 80 nucleotides in length. Their secondary structure includes four short double-helical elements and three loops (D, anti-codon, and T loops).
Source: RNAcentral